Misgurnus anguillicaudatus (oriental weatherfish) is the source of this 1145-nucleotide non-coding RNA. NCBI's taxonomy places the organism in Eukaryota, Metazoa, Chordata, Actinopteri, Cypriniformes, Cobitidae. The record is from RefSeq and is a predicted model, not a curated record.
AGUUAAACCUUUUUGACUCUUUUUCUACUUCUGAUAGCAGUUGCAACCCCAGACACCAGCACUGAAAACAUCAAAACUGGAACAGGAAAUAUUACAAAAAGUACUGCACCAGCAAUAAAUGAACAAACGAGUGCAGUGCCGCUGUGGCUUUCAGUUUUUGGCACGCUUCUACUGCUUAUGAUUCUGGUUGGUGUUUUUAUCUGGAAAUGGAAAAGGAGAUCCGAGGAAGAUAAGAAACAUAAAAAGAAGAACGAUUAUAUGACCGCUGACACAAUGCUUUUAUCUGAAGUGACUUACAGUGCCUUCAUGUGAUCUGCCAAGUGAAGCCUACACCAAUUUACACAGAGAUGAAUCAUCACCACACAACCAAUCAAAAGUUUAGAGGCACUGUUUAAUAAUAUCUUUUAAUAAUAAACUCAUCAGAACUGUAGGAUAGCACAAAUGUAACACAUGAAAGUAUUUUGUAAUUAAUCAAAUAACUCAAAACUGUUACUUUGCCUAGAAUUUGAAUAAAUGUCCUCUUAUCAUUUUAUUAAGGAGCUUAAAGUCUCACCCUGAGCAGUUAUUCAAACAGUAUAAAAAAUCCCAUCUUGUCCUGGUUCUAUGUUUUGUAUGUCUUUAAUUUUAUACUUGUGUUUUGUAGUCAGUGUCUCUUGUCUGUGAGGUCUUAUAAGUUACCCUGUACUAAUAAUUAUCCACAGAGAUGACAUAUUUUAGUAUGCAAAACACAAAAAUUAGUUAGCAUUUUAGCAUAGCACUUCUGGUCCAGAACUUAAUAGGUUUUUUGAUUGGGGUUGUUGUUAAACGCUUGAUAAGAUCUGUGGUUAACACACCCUUCAGACAUUUUCAUGUUAUAAUUUAUGUCAUGAAACACAUUAGUAAUACCCCCACUGUGAUAUCUAAAAGCUUUAUAUGUAUCUUUAAAAAUGUGGUUGCUAAAAAGUUGCUACAUGGGAGGUUGUUGAGGACUUUAACUUAUUACACGCCAGCAAUUUUUUAAAAAGUUGAUCGCAAGCAUUUUUUGUGAUUUUUACAAAAGUUUCACAAAAUGCCGAAACAUACAGAUAUAUCAAAUAAAAGAACAGACCCUUUGGUUUCAAACAAACAAUAAACAAACAAACAAAACAGUAAAAAAGUUUAAUUCU